UAACAAUCAAUCGAGAUUGCUUCAUCUGUAUUGUAUUUCAACUUUUUAAAUCCAUCUCCUGGAUUACUUUGGCCAAGGCUUUGCUAAAUUGAAAUACAGUGAUACAUCAACUUCAAUAAUCUGAAGGGGUCAAUCCCAUCUUGUUCUACAUACAGACUUUAUAAGUACUUGAUUGUAUCCAGUAGCCUUCCAUCACUGCAUU
Molecule: long non-coding RNA, 202 nt
Filed under: Elaeis guineensis (African oil palm)
Lineage: Eukaryota; Viridiplantae; Streptophyta; Magnoliopsida; Arecales; Arecaceae
Description: long non-coding RNA (EGUI_LNC069220)
Source: RNAcentral